CAGCCGCCGCGGUAAUACGAAGGGUGCAAGCGUUAAUCGGAAUUACUGGGCGUAAAGCGUGCGUAGGUGGUGGUUUAAGUCCGUUGUGAAAGCCCUGGGCUCAACCUGGGAAUUGCAGUGGAUACUGGGUCACUAGAGUGUGGUAGAGGAUAGUGGAAUUUCCGGUGUAGCAGUGAAAUGCGUAGAGAUCGGAAGGAACAUCUGUGGCGAAGGCGACUAUCUGGGCCAACACUGACACUGAGGCACGAAAGCGUGGGGAGCAAACAGGAUUAGAUACCCCUGUAGUCCCUGUCUCUUAUAA
This 301-nucleotide ribosomal RNA is filed under the name uncultured bacterium. RNAcentral describes it as "partial 16S ribosomal RNA". It matches the Rfam family "Bacterial small subunit ribosomal RNA", at positions 509 to 809 of the family's 1533-position model. The record is from RNAcentral.